Molecule: non-coding RNA, 123 nt
Organism: Armillaria novae-zelandiae
Lineage: Eukaryota; Fungi; Basidiomycota; Agaricomycetes; Agaricales; Physalacriaceae
Source: the annotation of a GenBank genome assembly
GCUGGGAUGGCCGAGUAGUUAAGGCGAGUGAUUUGAAUUUCGGCAUUUACGUAAUCAUUAUUACGUAAGCACCACAUUAUCACUUGGUGUUUCACCGCGUAGGUUCAAAUCCUGCUCCCAGCG